GACGAACGCUGGCGGCGUGCUUAACACAUGCAAGUCGAACGAUGAACCACUUCGGUGGGGAUUAGUGGCGAACGGGUGAGUAACACGUGGGCAAUCUGCCCUUCACUCUGGGACAAGCCCUGGAAACGGGGUCUAAUACCGGAUAACACUGCCACGGGCAUCUGUGGUGGUUAAAAGCUCCGGCGGUGAAGGAUGAGCCCGCGGCCUAUCAGCUUGUUGGUGAGGUAAUGGCUCACCAAGGCGACGACGGGUAGCCGGCCUGAGAGGGCGACCGGCCACACUGGGACUGAGACACGGCCCAGACUCCUACGGGAGGCAGCAGUGGGGAAUAUUGCACAAUGGGCGAAAGCCUGAUGCAGCGACGCCGCGUGAGGGAUGACGGCCUC
Molecule: ribosomal RNA, 386 nt
Filed under: uncultured bacterium
Lineage: Bacteria
Description: bacterial SSU rRNA
Rfam family: Bacterial small subunit ribosomal RNA
Source: RNAcentral